UAAUACCAGCUCUCCGAGUGGUGUGGAUGUUUAUUGGGCCUAAAGCAUCCGUAGCUGGCUAGGUUAGUCCCCUGUUAAAUCCACCGAAUUAAUCGUUGGAUUGCGGGGGAUACUGCUUGGCUAGGGGACGAGAGAGGCAGACGGUAUUUUCGGGGUAGGGGUGAAAUCCUAUAAUCCCGGGAAGACCACCAGUGGCGAAGGCUG
This 204-nucleotide ribosomal RNA is filed under the name uncultured ammonia-oxidizing archaeon. Its description in RNAcentral is "partial 16S ribosomal RNA". It matches the Rfam family "Archaeal small subunit ribosomal RNA", at positions 471 to 675 of the family's 1478-position model. The record is from RNAcentral.